This 26-nucleotide unclassified non-coding RNA is filed under the name Mus musculus (house mouse). RNAcentral describes it as "oocyte_clustered_small_RNA92". Lineage: Eukaryota; Metazoa; Chordata; Mammalia; Rodentia; Muridae. The record is from RNAcentral.
UUCUAUAAGAGAGCAGGCUAAGAAAG